RNAcentral lists this long non-coding RNA (1594 nucleotides) under Pelobates cultripes (western spadefoot toad). Lineage: Eukaryota; Metazoa; Chordata; Amphibia; Anura; Pelobatidae. The record is from RNAcentral.
CUUAUUUUUAUUGUUAGUGCUGAGCUCAGCUAUAUCUGUAAAUAUGCUGAUGCAGUAUCCUCAAAAUGUUUUGCUUUAUUUUGAGGAAGUGAUAUUUUAUAUUAAAUAACAUCCUUGCCCCAUGCUGUGAUAUUCAGUAUCCAGUUUUGGCUGAAGUGAAACUAUAUCACAAAAGGUAAGCUCCUGAUUAAUAUGUUAUUCGUUUUUAUUCAAUAUUUUUUGUAUUCUAGUUAAAGCUUUAUAUUUAAAUAAUAAAAAUGUAGUGGAUUUUUUUUUCUACAUACAGAUUUUAGUGUUUAUAAACGCUUACAAAAAGCUCCAAACCAUGAAGCUUUUUCAUAUUCUCUGUGUCGUGAUGGUGAGUAUGCCACUUGUCGUAACCAGUACCCAGUCGUGCCAACAUGCAGACAAAAAAAGUGGAUCUCCAGGUAAGGAUGGAUAUUAAGACUAAAAGCAUCCUCAUUUUUUUUAUUAAGGUGUAGGUAAUUGAUUCAUUAAUCUAUUGGGGAAUAUUUCACCCCAGUAAAUGGUGAGAUACUUUUGCCUGGGUUAAACACAAGGCAAUCACCACUAACAAAAACAUUUUUUUUUUUAAAUAGUCCAUUUCUGGGGAAGUAAUUUCCCCAAAUCAUUUGUAUUAAUAUGUAUAUAGUAAAAUGUAUUAUAUAUAGGAAUUUAAAAUUCGGAAGGUAUCUAAUUGUUAAACUUCUUGUUGCUUGAAUUAAAAAUACAUUUUGUAUCUAAGGGAGUAAAAUGAGGGCAAUGAUCACUAAAUGUUUGACAUAGAGCCUCAGCAUAUUGUACAAUUAUUUUUUUAUUUUUUUAUUUUUUUUGGGGGGGGCGGGGGGGGGUAUUCCCUUGCACUGGAAAAAAAGGGUAAGGUUUGCAGAGGAUGAAGAUGUCAGAUCUGUAUCCUUUUUCAAUGUGUUAUUCCACAUAUCUCCAAGGAAAACAUGCAGAAAAUAAACACAUGCAUUCUUUAGGUCUACUAAAGUUUUAAAAACAUUCAUAAUUAAAAAACACUCCAUAAUCAAUAUAGCUUGCUAGAAGUGCCCUGGUGCUAUUUUUGAAUGCUGAGAAUUCUUACCUGGGGUCUCCACCUCAGCUUCCAAUGCUGCUGAGCUGGAAGUUGCUAAGCAGGAACUGUGUGCCACCUGUGUGUGCCCAUUGUAUAUUUAUGCUGUUCAAGGUAUGGGAGGGAGUCUGGUACUUAUUGAAUCUGAUAUAUAUGAGAAGGGGGCAUACUACCACAUGCAUGGUUCUUGAGAAAGGCCAGAGGCUGAAAAAGUUGGGUGUCAAGUGUGCCAUGCCCUGAGCUCUUGUACAUAAGGAAGGUUGAACAUUGCUUCCAGCUUCUGGUAAUAGAUAUCUAUUUAUUGAUUUAUUGACCGUCAGUUACUUCUUGCCUUAAAGGUUUGGAUGAGUUAAAUCCUAAACGAGAAUCUUUGGAGCAAGAACUUAGAUGUUUGCAAUCCAGUGUAGCUGCACUGAAAAAUGGUGAGUAAUGUAAAAACAUUUUAUAUGCUGUACAGUAUUAUUUAUAGCUGCAUACAGCUUAAAAGUCACAAAAUAGUCCACAUACACAGAGAGCCAU